AAACUUAAGAGUUUGAUCCUGGCUCAGAUUGAACGCUGGCGGCAUGCCUUACACAUGCAAGUCGAACGGUANCAGGGAGCUUGCUCCGCUGACGAGUGGCGAACGGGUGAGUAAUACAUCGGAACGUGUCCUGUAGUGGGGGAUAGCCCGGCGAAAGCCGGAUUAAUACCGCAUACGCUGUACGCAGGAAAGGGGGGGAUCUUCGGACCUCUCGCUAUAGGGGCGGCCGAUGGCAGAUUAGCUAGUUGGUGGGGUAAAGGCCUACCAAGGCGACGAUCUGUAGCUGGUCUGAGAGGACGACCAGCCACACUGGGACUGAGACACGGCCCAGACUCCUACGGGAGGCAGCAGUGGGGAAUUUUGGACAAUGGGCGAAAGCCUGAUCCAGCAAUGCCGCGUGUGUGAAGAAGGCCUUCGGGUUGUAAAGCACUUUUGUUCGGGAAGAAAAGGCUCGGGAUAAUACCCUG
RNAcentral lists this ribosomal RNA (467 nucleotides) under Robbsia betulipollinis. RNAcentral's name for it is "bacterial SSU rRNA". It matches the Rfam family "Bacterial small subunit ribosomal RNA", at positions 1 to 470 of the family's 1533-position model. Lineage: Bacteria; Pseudomonadati; Pseudomonadota; Betaproteobacteria; Burkholderiales; Burkholderiaceae. The record is from RNAcentral.